AUGGAGUCUGCCAAAACAGCAAAGAGAGAAGUAAAAGUACAUGGAUCUGAGCAAAAUCCGAAGUUAAAAGGACCUGAAAAGAAGGAAGUAAAAGCAACAAAGGCAACAGAACAAGAUAAACCAAAGACGAAACAUGGAAAUCCUGAAAAAGAGAAGGAAUUGAAAUCUCCAGCAGCUACAAAAGAUAAAGCACAUGCUAAAGAAAAGGAAGAAAAGAAUCCUACAUUUUUAAAAGAAAAAGAUUCUCUGAAAGGAAAAAAUCCCAAGAAUCCAGAGAGUUCAAGGGAAAAAGAGACCAGUAAAAGAAAAGAGGUGAAGCCUCCAGCAGCCUUAAAAGAAAAGGACUCUUCAAAAGGAAAAGAUAUUAAGGCUUCAAGUAAUACUAAGGAAAAAGUUGCAGUGAAAAAGGAGGGGGAGAAGAAAGGGAAGAGCACAUGAAAACAUCAGAAGCUGAGGAUGAUAUUGAGAGGAAGCUCUUCAGGUCUUUCACCACACGUGCCUAAAGAUGAAAUGCAUUAAUGCAGCAGAUGUACCUCAUCCACAUUUGACUGAAAUUUUAUUCUUUCCAGCUCCGUCGAUAGAAGAUUUGUCUUGCUGGGAUUUUAAGACUUAUAGUACUUUAAAUAUAUAAGCUUUCAGUGCUACCAUGCAAGAGUGCUGUUUCAACAAGACUUAUAUUUCCCAGUGCAUUUCUGUUGUUUAAGUGACAAGCUGGGAAACAGAGAAAGAUCGGACCAUUACUGAUGAUCCCUGAAGGCAUGCAUCUCAGAUUGAAAUUGAAGUAAUUCCUCUCAUUAAAAAGCAUUUAAAAAUGUUGGAAAUGUCUGUACUUCUUUGCUACUUCUACUAUAUUUCCAUCAUGCUCAAGUUUCUCCCCUCCUCUGUCUGGACUACUUUUUGGUUUUCCCUGCUAUAUAAAGUACCCUUGAACUGCCAGUUAAAAAUAAGUCUUAAAAAACAAGUUGCUCUAGACAACAACAGCAAAAUCCCCCAAAACCAAGUGUCAGCUCAUUUUUCCCUAUACAGCCCAAAGGCAUAAAGCAAACCAAACAGCAAGGACACAAACAUGCUAACUGUAUGAAAAGUAGAUAGAUAUCUUGGGCCAGGCUGCUUUAGUACUGGAAAUAACUGUGAGAAAGAACUGUGAGAGCAGCCUGACAACUUUUUUUAGUGGAAAGAGGCAAUAUGAAGAUCAGUCUGUUGAAGUGAAUACCCUACAGGCUCUAAUACCAGUGAUUAACUAUUAAUGAUAAGAGCAAAGCAUGGAAUUUUAGGAAGGUUUGUCUUAAUCAUUUACCCUAUUAUCAUCCUUCAGCCACUGCUGAAACAUUGAUCCAAGGAAGUCUGUGGAGCUGCACAGACUCAAACGAGCACUCCCUGACCAUGAAUAAGCAUUAGACCACAGCUGGAAGCUCAAGCUCUCUGCUUCUCUUCAAAC
RNAcentral lists this long non-coding RNA (1438 nucleotides) under Manacus vitellinus (golden-collared manakin). RNAcentral describes it as "lncRNA (ENSMVIG00005017814.1)". Lineage: Eukaryota; Metazoa; Chordata; Aves; Passeriformes; Pipridae. The record is from RNAcentral.